GACGAACGCUGGCGGCGUGCUUAACACAUGCAAGUCGAACGGAAAGGCCCUGCUUUUGUGGGGUGCUCGAGUGGCGAACGGGUGAGUAACACGUGAGUAACCUGCCCUUGACUUUGGGAUAACUUCAGGAAACUGGGGCUAAUACCGGAUAGGAGCUCCUGCUGCAUGGUGGGGGUUGGAAAGUUUCGGCGGUUGGGGAUGGACUCGCGGCUUAUCAGCUUGUUGGUGGGGUAGUGGCUUACCAAGGCUUUGACGGGUAGCCGGCCUGAGAGGGUGACCGGCCACAUUGGGACUGGGAUCCGGCCCAGACUCCUACGGGAGGCAGCAGUGGGGAAUAUUGCACAAUGGGCGGAAGCCUGAUGCAGCACCGCCGCGUGCGGGAUGACGGCCUUCGGGUUGUAAACCGCUUUCGCCUGUGACGAAGCGUGAGUGACGGUAAUGGGUAAAGAAGCACCGGCUAACUACG
Molecule: ribosomal RNA, 466 nt
Filed under: uncultured bacterium
Lineage: Bacteria
Description: partial 16S ribosomal RNA
Rfam family: Bacterial small subunit ribosomal RNA
Source: RNAcentral